CGGGGCAUAGUUUAAUGGCAAAACAAUCGUUUUAUAAACGAUAUUAGCGGCAGAUUACCGCAAGAUUACAGGUUCGACUCCUGUUGCCCCGA
Molecule: transfer RNA, 92 nt
Filed under: Acidobacteriota bacterium
Lineage: Bacteria; Pseudomonadati; Acidobacteriota
Description: tRNA-Ile
Rfam family: tRNA
About the family: Transfer RNA (tRNA) molecules are approximately 80 nucleotides in length. Their secondary structure includes four short double-helical elements and three loops (D, anti-codon, and T loops).
Source: RNAcentral